RNAcentral lists this ribosomal RNA (496 nucleotides) under uncultured bacterium. Its description in RNAcentral is "partial 16S ribosomal RNA". It matches the Rfam family "Bacterial small subunit ribosomal RNA", at positions 28 to 506 of the family's 1533-position model. The record is from RNAcentral.
GAUGAACGCUGGCGGCGUGCCUAAUACAUGCAAGUCGAGCGAACAGACGAGGAGCUUGCUCCUCUGACGUUAGCGGCGGACGGGUGAGUAACACGUGGAUAACCUACCUAUAAGACUGGGAUAACUUCGGGAAACCGGAGCUAAUACCGGAUAAUAUAUUGAACCGCAUGGUUCAAUAGUGAAAGACGGUUUUGCUGUCACUUAUAGAUGGAUCCGCGCCGCAUUAGCUAGUUGGUAAGGUAACGGCUUACCAAGGCAACGAUGCGUAGCCGACCUGAGAGGGUGAUCGGCCACACUGGACCUGAGACACGGUCCAGACUCCUACGGGAGGCAGCAGUAGGGAAUCUUCCGCAAUGGGCGAAAGCCUGACGGAGCAACGCCGCGUGAGUGAUGAAGGUCUUCGGAUCGUAAAACUCUGUUAUUAGGGAAGAACAAAUGUGUAAGUAACUAUGCAAGUCUUGACGGUACCUAAGCAGAAAGCCACGGCUACCUACGU